CCUACGGGGGGCAGCAGUGAGGAAUAUUGGUCAAUGGCCGGAAGGCUGAACCAGCCAUGCCGCGUGAAGGUCAGUGCCCUAUGGGCGUUAAACUUCUUUUGUGCGGGAGCAAUAAUGGUCACGUGUGGCCAGACGAGAGUACCGUACGAAUAAGCAUCGGCUAACUCCGUGCAAGCAGCCGCGGUAAGACUGGGGAUGCAAGCGUUAUCCGGAAUUAUUGGGUUUGAAGGGUGCGUAGGCUGUGAGGUAAGUCAGCGGUGAAAUGCCCCCGCUCAACGGGGUGAAGGACCAUUGAUACUGCCUUGCUGGAAUGCGGGUGCCGUGGGAGGAAUGUGUGGUGUAGCGGUGGAAUGCAUAGAGAUCACACAGAACACCGAUUGCGAAGGCAUCUCACGAAUCCGCGAUUGACGCUGAUGCACGAAAGCGUGGGUAUCAAACAGGAUUAGAUACCCCGGUAGUC
RNAcentral lists this ribosomal RNA (460 nucleotides) under uncultured bacterium. RNAcentral describes it as "partial 16S ribosomal RNA". It matches the Rfam family "Bacterial small subunit ribosomal RNA", at positions 338 to 795 of the family's 1533-position model. The record is from RNAcentral.